GUUGAUGUUGCACCACUUGCUGCUGGUGCACUGCCGCCGAAUGUUGCAAGUGCUGAUUGAGCAAGGCAGCUGCUGCCGCUUGAUUGAACUGUGCCAGACGCUGCUGCUGCUGCUGUUGCUGCUGCACUUGUUGCUGCUGCUGCUGUUGCAGUUGUGGCUGCUGUGCUGCCGCUACUGCGUAAGCAACUUGUUGCUGUUGCACCUGCUGCUGCUGCUGCUGUUGCUGCUGCUGCUGCUGCUGAUGGUGGGCUGCAACGGCGGCCGCAAACUGUGUGGGAUGGGCAAAGCUCAGC
RNAcentral lists this small RNA (293 nucleotides) under Drosophila guanche. Lineage: Eukaryota; Metazoa; Arthropoda; Insecta; Diptera; Drosophilidae. The record is from RNAcentral.